GAUCCUGGCUCAGGAUGAACGCUAGCUACAGGCUUAACACAUGCAAGUCGAGGGGCAGCAUGGUCUUAGCUUGCUAAGGCCGAUGGCGACCGGCGCACGGGUGAGUAACACGUAUCCAACCUGCCGUCUACUCUUGGACAGCCUUCUGAAAGGAAGAUUAAUACAAGAUGGCAUCAUGAGUCCGCAUGUUCACAUGAUUAAAGGUAUUCCGGUAGACGAUGGGGAUACG
This 229-nucleotide ribosomal RNA is filed under the name uncultured bacterium. RNAcentral's name for it is "partial 16S ribosomal RNA". It matches the Rfam family "Bacterial small subunit ribosomal RNA", at positions 15 to 235 of the family's 1533-position model. The record is from RNAcentral.